Molecule: long non-coding RNA, 1124 nt
Organism: Saccoglossus kowalevskii
Lineage: Eukaryota; Metazoa; Hemichordata; Enteropneusta; Harrimaniidae
Source: RefSeq, a predicted model, not a curated record
CAACUAACAUAAUCAUUGUCCUGAAUACUACAAAUGCUAUGUACAUAUUGUUUGUAGACCAUCUCGUGGCCGGGCAGGACCAAGAUCAGCUUGGGGAGGUCAAAUAGGAGGUACUGGUGUUAAUCACAAGGCUGGUAGUGGACUACCGAGGGCAGUGUUAUCUAGGACUCCAUCUAGUUCUACUUUGGAUUCAAAAGAAGAACCUUUACCAUCAGCUCGCAGUUUUCAGUAUCCACGAUCAGAUUCAGCAGCCGAGUUUCUCACAGUCAGUCUAUCACAUAACUGCUACAUGAUGAAAGGAGCCCUUCGGCAUUCAGCUCCUCCAGCACAGAAAAGAGCGCCACCAACGGUAGACUUCAGGAAAAUGGAAACAGUGAAAUAGAUAAAUCAGUAUUUUUUGCAAAAAAAAACAUGUUAUCUACAAACUUAAAUUGGCAUUUUGUAAUAAAAUAAUUUUUAAAACGAGUAUUUUUAUGGCAAAUAAUACCUGAUCAUUAGGCUUACUGUUAGGUCCACUGCCACUGCACAGAAUGUUGUUUUAGUGAUGCACAAAUUUACCAUCUCAUGUUUUGGUAAAAUGUAUUUUUUUUUAAUUCUAAUGUAGACUAUAGUUGCAACAAAGUGCCAAAGUGAGUUCUAUGCAAACUUAUAUUUACAAAAGAGAUCUGAAAUAAAUGAUAUGCCGUGAUCAAAUAACCUGACAAAUGAAUCGUAAAAUUAACCUAAGAUAUGCCAACUCAACAAACUAUGGUAUUUUUUCCACACACCUUGUCCACCUGCCAUUGCACUGAAUAUAGUACUUACCAGGUAUAUAUAGAUUGUCUAUGGUUUUCUACUCAUGUAGAUAAACUCAUUGAAAAUGUAUGAAGAGUAAAUUGGCCCACACAUUGAUUGUUAGUUUUUUUCAUUGUCAUUUACAAUAUUGUACACACCAUGUAGAUUUCCAUGCAGUCUUCCAAUUUCAUAGUAUUAAUGAAAAGAUCAAAUAUAUAUUUUUCAGAUUGCUGAUCAUAGAUUGAGCCAACUUCAAAACACAAAACCUUGGUUUCAUGUAUGUGUAUAUAUUCAAAGUUGUGUACAUUUGUAAAUAAUAAUAAAUAAAAUUGUGAUACCAGAAUAUUAAC